This 253-nucleotide ribosomal RNA is filed under the name uncultured bacterium. Its description in RNAcentral is "partial 16S ribosomal RNA". It matches the Rfam family "Bacterial small subunit ribosomal RNA", at positions 524 to 776 of the family's 1533-position model. The record is from RNAcentral.
UACAGAGGGUGCAAGCGUUGUUCGGAAUUAUUGGGCGUAAAGGGCGCGUAGGCGGUGCUAUAAGUCUGUGGUGAAAUCUCUGGGCUCAACUCAGAGUCUGCCAUACAAACUGUCUGACUAGAGUGUGGGAUGGGUAAGUGGAAUUCCUGGUGUAGCGGUGAAAUGCGUAGAUAUCAGGAGGAACACCGGUGGUGUAGACGGCUUACUGGACCAUAACUGACGCUGAGACACGAAAGCGUGGGUAGCAAACAGG